RNAcentral lists this ribosomal RNA (1422 nucleotides) under uncultured organism. Its description in RNAcentral is "SSU rRNA". It matches the Rfam family "Bacterial small subunit ribosomal RNA". The record is from RNAcentral.
UGCGGCGUGCUUAACACAUGCAAGUCGAGCGAUGAAGUUUCCUUCGGGAAACGGAUUAGCGGCGGACGGGUGAGUAACACGUGGGUAACCUGCCUCAUAGAGUGGAAUAGCCUUCCGAAAGGAAGAUUAAUACCGCAUAAUGUUGAAAGAUGGCAUCAUCAUUCAACCAAAGGAGCAAUCCGCUAUGAGAUGGACCCGCGGCGCAUUAGCUAGUUGGUGGGGUAACGGCCUACCAAGGCGACGAUGCGUAGCCGACCUGAGAGGGUGAUCGGCCACAUUGGGACUGAGACACGGCCCAGACUCCUACGGGAGGCAGCAGUGGGGAAUAUUGCACAAUGGGGGAAACCCUGAUGCAGCAACGCCGCGUGAGUGAUGAAGGUUUUCGGAUCGUAAAGCUCUGUCUUUGGGGAAGAUAAUGACGGUACCCAAGGAGGAAGCCACGGCUAACUACGUGCCAGCAGCCGCGGUAAUACGUAGGUGGCGAGCGUUAUCCGGAUUUACUGGGCGUAAAGGGAGCGUAGGCGGAUGAUUAAGUGGGAUGUGAAAUACCCGGGCUCAACUUGGGUGCUGCAUUCCAAACUGGUUAUCUAGAGUGCAGGAGAGGAGAGUGGAAUUCCUAGUGUAGCGGUGGAAUGCGUAGAGAUUAGGAAGAACACCAGUGGCGAAGGCGACUCUCUGGACUGUAACUGACGCUGAGGCUCGAAAGCGUGGGGAGCAAACAGGAUUAGAUACCCCUGGUAGUCCACGCCGUAAACGAUGAAUACUAGGUGUGGGGGUUUCAACACCUCCGUGCCGCCGCUAACGCAUUAAGUAUUCCGCCUGGGGAGUACGGUCGCAAGAUUAAAACUCAAAGGAAUUGACGGGGACCCGCACAAGUAGCGGAGCAUGUGGUUUAAUUCGAAGCAACGCGAAGAACCUUACCUACACUUGACAUCCCUUGCAUUACUCUUAAUCGAGGAAAUCCCUUCGGGGACAAGGUGACAGGUGGCGCAUGGUUGUCGUCAGCUCGUGUCGUGAGAUGUUGGGUUAAGUCCCGCAACGAGCGCAACCCUUGUCGUUAGUUACUACCAUUAAGUUGAGGACUCUAGCGAGACUGCCUGGGUUAACCAGGAGGAAGGUGGGGAUGACGUCAAAUCAUCAUGCCCCUUAUGUGUAGGGCUACACACGUGCUACAAUGGCUGGUACAGAGAGAUGCAAUACCGCGAGGUGGAGCCAAACUUAAAAACCAGUCUCAGUUCGGAUUGUAGGCUGAAACUCGCCUACAUGAAGCUGGAGUUACUAGUAAUCGCGAAUCAGAAUGUCGCGGUGAAUACGUUCCCGGGUCUUGUACACACCGCCCGUCACACCAUGAGAGUUGGCAAUACCCGAAGUCCGUGAGCUAACCGCAAGGAGGCAGCGGCCGAAGGUAGGGUCAGCGAUUGG